RNAcentral lists this ribosomal RNA (1343 nucleotides) under uncultured bacterium. Its description in RNAcentral is "16S ribosomal RNA". It matches the Rfam family "Bacterial small subunit ribosomal RNA", at positions 28 to 1378 of the family's 1533-position model. The record is from RNAcentral.
GACGAACGCUGGCGGCGUGCUUAACACAUGCAAGUCGAACGGAAAGGCCCUGCUUUUGUGGGGUGCUCGAGUGGCGAACGGGUGAGUAACACGUGAGUAACCUGCCCUUGACUUUGGGAUAACUUCAGGAAACUGGGGCUAAUACCGGAUAGGAGCUCCUGCUGCAUGGUGGGGGUUGGAAAGUUUCGGCGGUUGGGGAUGGACUCGCGGCUUAUCAGCUUGUUGGUGGGGUAGUGGCUUACCAAGGCUUUGACGGGUAGCCGGCCUGAGAGGGUGACCGGCCACAUUGGGACUGAGAUACGGCCCAGACUCCUACGGGAGGCAGCAGUGGGGAAUAUUGCACAAUGGGCGGAAGCCUGAUGCAGCAACGCCGCGUGCGGGAUGACGGCCUUCGGGUUGUAAACCGCUUUCGCCUGUGACGAAGCGUGAGUGACGGUAAUGGGUAAAGAAGCACCGGCUAACUACGUGCCAGCAGCCGCGGUGAUACGUAGGGUGCGAGCGUUGUCCGGAUUUAUUGGGCGUAAAGGGCUCGUAGGUGGUUGAUCGCGUCGGAAGUGUAAUCUUGGGGCUUAACCCUGAGCGUGCUUUCGAUACGGGUUGACUUGAGGAAGGUAGGGGAGAAUGGAAUUCCUGGUGGAGCGGUGGAAUGCGCAGAUAUCAGGAGGAACACCAGUGGCGAAGGCGGUUCUCUGGGCCUCUCCUGACGCUGAGGAGCGAAAGCGUGGGGAGCGAACAGGCUUAGAUACCCUGGUAGUCCACGCUGUAAACGGUGGGUACUAGGUGUGGGGUCCAUUCCACGGGUUCCGUGCCGUAGCUAACGCUUUAAGUACCCCGCCUGGGGAGUACGGCCGCAAGGCUAAAACUCAAAGGAAUUGACGGGGCCCCGCACAAGCGGCGGAGCAUGCGGAUUAAUUCGAUGCAACGCGUAGAACCUUACCUGGGUUUGACAUGGAUCGGGAGUGCUCAGAGAUGGGUGUGCCUCUUUUGGGGUCGGUUCACAGGUGGUGCAUGCCUGUCGUCAGCUCGUGUCGUGAGAUGUUGGGUUAAGUCCCGCAACGAGCGCAACCCUUGUUCACUGUUGCCAGCACGUUAUGGUGGGGACUCAGUGGAGACCGCCGGGGUCAACUCGGAGGAAGGUGGGGAUGACGUCAAGUCAUCAUGCCCCUUAUGUCCAGGGCUUCACGCAUGCUACAAUGGCUGGUACAGAGAGUGGCGAGCCUGUGAGGGUGAGCGAAUCUCGGAAAGCCGGUCUCAGUUCGGAUUGGGGUCUGCAACUCGAUCUCAUGAAGUCGGAGUCGCUAGUAAUCGCAGAUCAGCAACGCCGCGGUGAAUACGUUCCCGGG